This 495-nucleotide ribosomal RNA is filed under the name uncultured bacterium. Its description in RNAcentral is "partial 16S ribosomal RNA". It matches the Rfam family "Bacterial small subunit ribosomal RNA", at positions 28 to 507 of the family's 1533-position model. The record is from RNAcentral.
GACGAACGCUGGCGGCGUGCCUAAUACAUGCAAGUCGAACGCUGAAGGAGGAGCUUGCUCUUCUGGAUGAGUUGCGAACGGGUGAGUAACGCGUAGGUAACCUGCCUGGUAGCGGGGGAUAACUAUUGGAAACGAUAGCUAAUACCGCAUAACAGUAGAUGUUGCAUGACAUUUACUUAAAAGGUGCAAUUGCAUCACUACCAGAUGGACCUGCGUUGUAUUAGCUAGUUGGUGGGGUAACGGCUCACCAAGGCGACGAUACAUAGCCGACCUGAGAGGGUGAUCGGCCACACUGGGACUGAGACACGGCCCAGACUCCUACGGGAGGCAGCAGUAGGGAAUCUUCGGCAAUGGACGGAAGUCUGACCGAGCAACGCCGCGUGAGUGAAGAAGGGUUUCGGAUCGUAAAGCUCGGUUGUAAGAGAAGAACGAGUGUGAGAGUGGAAAGUUCACACUGUGACGGUAUCUUACCAGAAAGGGACGGCUAACUACGUG